GGGGGAAUUUUCCGCAAUGGGCGAAAGCCUGACGGAGCAAUGCCGCGUGGAGGUGGAAGGCCUACGGGUCGUCAACUUCUUUUCUCGGAGAAGAAACAAUGACGGUAUCUGAGGAAUAAGCAUCGGCUAACUCUGUGCCAA
This 141-nucleotide ribosomal RNA is filed under the name uncultured bacterium. RNAcentral's name for it is "partial 16S rRNA". It matches the Rfam family "Bacterial small subunit ribosomal RNA", at positions 355 to 511 of the family's 1533-position model. The record is from RNAcentral.